Molecule: ribosomal RNA, 450 nt
Filed under: Bacillus sp. (in: firmicutes)
Lineage: Bacteria; Bacillati; Bacillota; Bacilli; Caryophanales; Bacillaceae
Description: bacterial SSU rRNA
Rfam family: Bacterial small subunit ribosomal RNA
Source: RNAcentral
GCUUGCUUCUAUGACGUUAGCGGCGGACGGGUGAGUAACACGUGGGCAACCUGCCUGUAAGACUGGGAUAACUUCGGGAAACCGAAGCUAAUACCGGAUAGGAUCUUCUCCUUCAUGGGAGAUGAUUGAAAGAUGGUUUCGGCUAUCACUUACAGAUGGGCCCGCGGUGCAUUAGCUAGUUGGUGAGGUAACGGCUCACCAAGGCAACGAUGCAUAGCCGACCUGAGAGGGUGAUCGGCCACACUGGGACUGAGACACGGCCCAGACUCCUACGGGAGGCAGCAGUAGGGAAUCUUCCGCAAUGGACGAAAGUCUGACGGAGCAACGCCGCGUGAGUGAUGAAGGCUUUCGGGUCGUAAAACUCUGUUGUUAGGGAAGAACAAGUACGAGAGUAACUGCUUGUACCUUGACGGUACCUAACCAGAAAGCCACGGCUAACUACGUGCCAGC